UCGCGGCCUAUCAGCUUGUUGGUGAGGUAAUGGCUCACCAAGGCGACGACGGGUAGCCGGCCUGAGAGGGCGACCGGCCACACUGGGACUGAGACACGGCCCAGACUCCUACGGGAGGCAGCAGUGGGGAAUAUUGCACAAUGGGCGAAAGCCUGAUGCAGCGACGCCGCGUGAGGGAUGAAGGCCUUCGGGUUGUAAACCUCUUUCAGUAGGGAAGAAGCGCAAGUGACGGUACCUACAGAAGAAGCACCGGCUAACUACGUGCCAGCAGCCGCGGUGAUACGUAGGGUGCGAGCGUUGUCCGGAAUUAUUGGGCGUAAAGAGCUUGUAGGCGGUUUGUCGCGUCUGCCGUGAAAAUCCGGGGCUCAACUCCGGACUUGCGGUGGGUACGGGCAGACUAGAGUGUGGUAGGGGAGACUGGAAUUCCUGGUGUAGCGGUGAAAUGCGCAGAUAUCAGGAGGAACACCGAUGGCGAAGGCAGGUCUCUGGGCCACUACUGACGCUGAGAAGCGAAAGCGUGAGGAGCGAACAGGAUUAGAUACCCUGGUAGUCCACGCCGUAAACGUUGGGCGCUAGGUGUGGGACUCAUUCCACGAGUUCCGUGCCGCAGCUAACGCAUUAAGCGCCCCGCCUGGGGAGUACGG
RNAcentral lists this ribosomal RNA (644 nucleotides) under uncultured Actinomycetes bacterium. RNAcentral's name for it is "bacterial SSU rRNA". It matches the Rfam family "Bacterial small subunit ribosomal RNA", at positions 231 to 885 of the family's 1533-position model. The record is from RNAcentral. Lineage: Bacteria; Bacillati; Actinomycetota; Actinomycetes.